Butyrivibrio fibrisolvens DSM 3071 is the source of this 349-nucleotide non-coding RNA. NCBI's taxonomy places the organism in Bacteria, Bacillati, Bacillota, Clostridia, Lachnospirales, Lachnospiraceae. The record is from Rfam.
UGAGCAGGCCAGAUGAUCGCGGCUGCAAUACCCGAAAGGGUGCAGGUGAGGAAAGUCCGGGCUUCACAGGGCAGGAUACCGGAUAACGUCCGGCGGAGGUGACUCCCGGGAUAGUGCAACAGAGAUAUACCGCCAACUUUUGUUGGUAAGGGUGGAAAGGCAGUGUAAGAGACUACCGUGCGGGUGGUAACAUCCGUAGCCAUGUAAACCCUAUCCGAAGCAAGACCGAAUAGAAAGCUAUGGGCCGGCCCGGUCCGCUUUCAGGUGGGUCGCUUGAAACGUUUGGUAACAGGCGUUCUAGAUAGAUGAUCAUCCUAGACAUAACCCGGCUUACAGGCCUGCUCUUCUA